GAUGAACGCUGGCGGCGUGCCUAAUACAUGCGAGUCGAGCGAACGGACGAGAAGCUUGCUUCUCUGAUGUUAGCGGCGGACGGGUGAGUAACACGUGGAUAACCUACCUAUAAGACUGGGAUAACUUCGGGAAACCGGAGCUAAUACCGGAUAAUAUUUUGAACCGCAUGGUUCAAAAGUGAAAGACGGUCUUGCUGUCACUUAUAGAUGGAUCCGCGCUGCAUUAGCUAGUUGGUAAGGUAACGGCUUACCAAGGCAACGAUGCAUAGCGCACCUGAGAGGGUGGCAGGACCCAUAGAACUGAGACACGGUCCAGACUCCUACGGGAGGCAGCAGUAGGGAAUCUUCCGCAAUGCGCGAAAGCCUGACGGAGCAACGACGCGUGAGUGAUGAAGGUCUUCGGAUCGUAAAACUCUGUUAUUAGGGAAGAACAUAUGUGUAAGUAACUGUGCACAUCUUGACGGUACCUAAUCAGAAAGCCACGGCUAACUACAUG
RNAcentral lists this ribosomal RNA (496 nucleotides) under uncultured bacterium. Its description in RNAcentral is "partial 16S ribosomal RNA". It matches the Rfam family "Bacterial small subunit ribosomal RNA", at positions 28 to 507 of the family's 1533-position model. The record is from RNAcentral.